GCGGGGAUAGCUCAGUUGGGAGAGCGUCAGACUGAAGUACAACUUCAUCAUCAUAUAAUCUGAAGGUCGUGUGUUCAAUCCACACUCACCGCA
Molecule: transfer RNA, 93 nt
Filed under: Xylaria scruposa
Lineage: Eukaryota; Fungi; Ascomycota; Sordariomycetes; Xylariales; Xylariaceae
Description: tRNA-Phe
Rfam family: tRNA
About the family: Transfer RNA (tRNA) molecules are approximately 80 nucleotides in length. Their secondary structure includes four short double-helical elements and three loops (D, anti-codon, and T loops).
Source: RNAcentral